CCUACGGGAGGCAGCAGUGAGGAAUAUUGGUCAAUGGGCGAGAGCCUGAACCAGCCAAGUCGCGUGAGGGAGUACUGCCCUAUGGGUUGUAAACCUCUUUUGUCGGGGAGCAAAAGCCGGACGUGUCCGGCUGUGAGAGUACCCGAAGAAAAAGCAUCGGCUAACUCCGUGCCAGCAGCCGCGGUAAUACGGAGGAUGCGAGCGUUAUCCGGAUUUAUUGGGUUUAAAGGGUGCGCAGGCGGAUUUUUAAGUCUGCGGGAAAAUCGUGGGGCUCAACCCCAUCCAGCCGGUGAAACUGGGGAUCUAGAGUGUGCGAGAGGUAUGCGGAAUGCGUGGUGUAGCGGUGAAAUGCAUAGAUAUCACGCAGAACCCCGAUUGCGAAGGCAGCAUACCGGUGCACAACUGACGCUCAGGCACGAAAGCGUGGGUAUCGAACAGGAUUAGAUACCCCUGUAGUC
RNAcentral lists this ribosomal RNA (458 nucleotides) under uncultured bacterium. RNAcentral describes it as "partial 16S ribosomal RNA". It matches the Rfam family "Bacterial small subunit ribosomal RNA", at positions 338 to 795 of the family's 1533-position model. The record is from RNAcentral.